This is a long non-coding RNA of Zalophus californianus (California sea lion), 1204 nucleotides long. RefSeq lists it as uncharacterized. Lineage: Eukaryota; Metazoa; Chordata; Mammalia; Carnivora; Otariidae. The record is from RefSeq and is a predicted model, not a curated record. The transcript has 3 exons.
GAAGGCGGUCGCUUAACCAACUGAGCCACCCAGGCGCCCUGGAAUGAGAAUUACAGGACCCACUGUGUACCCCUGGGGUGCACCUAAGCUUGUUUGAGAAGCAUGGACCUAUGGCUGAGCUCACUGAAGAAGGUGGUACGCAAAUCUGUAACUCAGGACCCAACCAGAAGACAGGGCCACAGAGUAACUGGAAUAAGGGAAGUUUAACGUAAGGACUUAGUAUCUAUAAUAGAGGAUUAGAGUAAUGGGGAACUGGCCUAGAAGAAGUAAAGAGAACUCAGAAGAAUUCAGAAAUCAGAUAUAAGGGACAUCAUUACAUCUAGGACUGGGAUGGAGCAUUCCUUCUCCAUCAGGGCUGAGAUACAGACUUCGCUGGAGUGAGCAGCACAGCCUUGGCUCACGGGAUACUGGAAGAGUCACUGAGAUGCUGUGCUUGUGGGUCUUGCUGGAGAUCUACCCUCUGAGGCGCUGAGGAGCCGUCCACAGGGACAUGCUGUGCCCUGGAAAUCACUGCAAGGCCAGUUGAGGGAGUGCUGGGAAGGCAGCUGGCCACAGAGUGCUGCUGGCUGCCCCCAUACACUGUAGGAAGCAGGUGCUAGAGAAGCCGUUCAUUAUAGAAACGGUUCAUUGUGGAGCUGGAUAUGCAGAAGCGAUGCCCUGCAGGUGCCCAUGCUGGAGAAAUCAGGAGCUGUAGGGGCCUGGCAAAAGGAGCUUACCACACCACGAAGAGAAAAUACCUCUUUGCCUCCAGUACCCCUCCGUCUCCCUCCACCAACAAAGCUUAGCAUUGUACCAACUGGCAAAGAAGAAAUAUAUAAAGGGCCCAUAUCCAUUUCUAUAGUACAGACAAUGAAGAGUGGAUGUGGAGCUUAGAGGCAAACAUACUGAUAAUUAACACAAUAGGAUAGAGUUUUGUGACUCUUUUUCUGAAACGGAUCAUCUCUUUGAAAAUUCACGUCGUAUUUCAAUGUUCAUCCCUUAUGUUCUACAGAAGGUCUCCUGGUUUACUUCCUCCCAAUAUUUGCUUAGAAAAUUUUUAACACUUCCAUUUUGGCGUUUGCCUUGAGAACUAAAAUUUAGAGACAUGUCGGGGCGCCUGGGUGGCUCAGUUGGUUACGUGACUGCCUUCGGCUCGCGUCAUGAUCCUGGAGUCCCAGGAUCGAGUCCCACAUUGGGCUCCCUGCUCAGUGGGGAGUCUGCUUCU